CAAAAGGUAGUUUAAUAAAGAUUCCGGUUUUGGGGGCCGGUGAUGAAGGUUUGAGUCUUUCUCUUUUGA
This 69-nucleotide transfer RNA is filed under the name Chelonoidis carbonarius (red-footed tortoise). RNAcentral's name for it is "tRNA-Pro". It matches the Rfam family "tRNA". From Rfam's summary of the family: Transfer RNA (tRNA) molecules are approximately 80 nucleotides in length. Their secondary structure includes four short double-helical elements and three loops (D, anti-codon, and T loops). Further hydrogen bonds mediate the characteristic L-shaped molecular structure. tRNAs have two regions of fundamental functional importance: the anti-codon, which is responsible for specific mRNA codon recognition, and the 3' end, to which the tRNAs corresponding amino acid is attached (by aminoacyl-tRNA synthetases). tRNAs cope with the degeneracy of the genetic code in two manners: having more than one tRNA (with a specific anti-codon) for a particular amino acid; and 'wobble' base-pairing, i.e. permitting non-standard base-pairing at the 3rd anti-codon position. Lineage: Eukaryota; Metazoa; Chordata; Testudines; Testudinidae. The record is from RNAcentral.